This 700-nucleotide ribosomal RNA is filed under the name uncultured Alphaproteobacteria bacterium. RNAcentral's name for it is "bacterial SSU rRNA". It matches the Rfam family "Bacterial small subunit ribosomal RNA", at positions 42 to 788 of the family's 1533-position model. Lineage: Bacteria; Pseudomonadati; Pseudomonadota; Alphaproteobacteria. The record is from RNAcentral.
UCAGGCCUAACACAUGCAAGUCGAACGAGAUCUUCGGAUCGAGUGGCGGACGGGUGCGUAACGCGUGGGAAUCUGCCCUUAGGUACGGAAUAACAGAUAGAAAUGUCUGCUAAUACCGUAUAAUAUCUCCGGAUCAAAGAUUUAUCGCCUAAGGAUGAGCCCGCGUCAGAUUAGCUAGUUGGUGGGGUAAUGGCCUACCAAGGCAACGAUCUGUAGCUGGUUUGAGAGGAUGAUCAGCCACACUGGGACUGAGACACGGCCCAGACUCCUACGGGAGGCAGCAGUAGGGAAUAUUGGACAAUGGGCGAAAGCCUGAUCCAGCCAUGCCGCGUGAGUGAUGACGGCCCUAGGGUUGUAAAGCUCUUUCAACGGUGACGAUUAUGACGGUAGCCGUAGAAGAAGCCCCGGCUAACUUCGUGCCAGCAGCCGCGGUAAUACGAAGGGGGCAAGCGUUGUUCGGAAUUACUGGGCGUAAAGGGCGCGUAGGCGGCUUGUUAAGUCAGAUGUGAAAUCCCAAGGCUCAACCUUGGAACUGCAUUUGAUACUGGCAAGCUUGAGUAUGAGAGAGGUAAGCAGAAUUCCCAGUGUAGAGGUGAAAUUCGUAGAUAUUGGGAGGAAUACCAGUUGCGAAGGCGGCUUACUGGCUCAUUACUGACGCUGAGGCGCGAAAGCGUGGGGAGCAAACAGGAUUAGAUACCCU